AUCUAGCUAACGAGUCCCAAGGAGAACGAAACGCGCGUCUUGUAU
RNAcentral lists this non-coding RNA (45 nucleotides) under Schistosoma curassoni. The record is from RNAcentral. Lineage: Eukaryota; Metazoa; Platyhelminthes; Trematoda; Strigeidida; Schistosomatidae.